GACGCUGGCGGCGUGCCUAACACAUGCAAGUCGAGCGCGAAAGGAGCAAUCCGAGUAGAGCGGCGCACGGGUGCGUAACACGUGGAUAAUCUGCCUCAGGGUUGAGGAUAACCUUCCGAAAGGUUGGCUAAUACUCGGUAAGCUUACGAUGUCUUCGGACGUUGUGAGAAAAGUAGACCUCUAUUUAUAAGUUUACGCCCCAGAGAUGAGUCCGCGGCCCAUCAGCUAGUUGGCGGGGUAACAGCCCACCAAGGCUACGACGGGUAGCUGGUCUGAGAGGACGAUCAGCCACACUGGAACUGAGACACGGUCCAGACUCCUACGGGAGGCAGCAGUGGGGAAUUUUCCACAAUGGGCGAAAGCCUGAUGGAGCAACGCCGCGUGUGUGAUGAAGGUCUUCGGAUCGUAAAGCACUUUCGAUCGGGACGAAAAACCUCUGGCUAACAUCCAGGGGCCUGACGGUACCGAGAGAAGAAGCACCGGCUAACUCUGUG
RNAcentral lists this ribosomal RNA (494 nucleotides) under uncultured bacterium. RNAcentral describes it as "bacterial SSU rRNA". It matches the Rfam family "Bacterial small subunit ribosomal RNA", at positions 33 to 507 of the family's 1533-position model. The record is from RNAcentral.